GCCAGGCCCUACGGGGCGCACCAGGCGCGAAAACUCCGCAAUGCGGGAAACCGUGACGGGGUUACCCCGAGUGCUCCCCUUGUGGGAGCUUUUCCCCGCUGUAAAAAGGCGGGGGAAUAAGCGGGGGGCAAGUCUGGUGUCAGCCGCCGCGGUAAUACCAGCCCCGCGAGUGGUCGGGGUGUUUAUUGGGCCUAAAGCGGCCGUAGCCGGCCCGGUAAGUCCUCCCUGAAAGCCCCAGGCUCAACCUGGGGAGCGGGAGGAUACUGCCGGGCUAGAGGGCGGGAGAGGCCGAGGGUACUCCCGGGGUAGGGGCGAAAUCCUGUAAUCCCGGGAGGACCACCAGUGGCGAAGGCGCUCGGCUGGAACGCGCCUGACGGUGAGGGCCGAAAGCCGGGGGAGCGAACCGGAUUAGAUACCCGGGUAGUCCCGGCUGUAAACGAUGCGGGCUAGGUGUUAGGCGGGCGGGA
This 467-nucleotide ribosomal RNA is filed under the name uncultured crenarchaeote. RNAcentral's name for it is "bacterial SSU rRNA". It matches the Rfam family "Archaeal small subunit ribosomal RNA", at positions 315 to 787 of the family's 1478-position model. Lineage: Archaea; Thermoproteati; Thermoproteota. The record is from RNAcentral.